Gadus chalcogrammus (walleye pollock) is the source of this 1257-nucleotide long non-coding RNA. RefSeq lists it as uncharacterized. The record is from RefSeq and is a predicted model, not a curated record. The transcript has 4 exons. NCBI's taxonomy places the organism in Eukaryota, Metazoa, Chordata, Actinopteri, Gadiformes, Gadidae.
CAAUUGGUCAGUUGUUGUUUUCAGUUUAAAUUUGUCUGCAUUGACAGUCGUCUAACUGCAAAAUGUCACGAAAUUAUAAACGAUAUUUGUCCGAUUUUUCUAUACCUGUGCCAAAAACUACAAGAUGGUACAGAAGUCAAUUGAGAACAGAGGAACGGCCAGCAAGUUCGACCGAGGAGGUAAGAAAAACGGGAAUAAGAGCGCCUCCUUGCGACACUUUGUCGAAGUAAUUCCCUACAGCUAGGCUAACCUCUAUUUGUCCACUGGCUUCCAGAUUGAUUCAAGGCCUUCAUUUGAAGCUGAAUUCUCUGAUGACGGAGACCUUGAUGAUCAAAUGAAUACACAGUCUAUGAUUGACUCUUCAGAUGAAGCUGAAUUCCCCUGUGAUGAUCCACCAGACCAUGUUGAGCAACCCGACUUGACACCAGAGGAUGGAACAAAUUAAACAGAAUCCGCUGAAAUGGAUGACGAUGAGCAGUGUUUCACAAACAUCUUCAACGAUCCUGAAAUCCAAGAGCAACCCAUCUACUCUGGUGCAUCAAUUAACCGUGGACAGCUACUGUGCCUCAUUCUGGCCUUCAUCUUGAAGCACAGCAUUAGUGGCAGUGGAUUAAAAGAUUUGUUCGAUCUUUUAAAUAUUGUAGCACCUGGAUGUGCCCCCACAAGUAAAUACUACUUUGACAAAUCUUUCUUUAAUAUGGCAAAACAAUUCGAAAUUCACCAUUACUGUAAAAUUUGCUCGCAAUAUAGGUAAGUUGUUUACCCCUUGCUGCAGUGACGGAAAUGUUGAUCAAAGAGUAAACAAAAAUGAAGGGUAUUAUUUUCUGAAGGAGCUCUUUCUACAAGUUCUUAAACGAUAACAAAACAAAUAUGGGCAUGGGGGACAUUUACAGUGGAAGUAUGUACGCCUCAAAACUUAAAACCUUUGUUGAUACCCUUGACAACAUUUCACUUUCAUUUAAUAUUGAUGGGGCUUCAGUUUUUAAAUCAUCCAAUUACUCAAUUUGGCCAAUUAUCUGCACAGUCAAUGAACUUCCAUCUACUAUCCGUGGAAAAUAUGCUCUUCUACAUUCCCUUUGGUUUAGCUCUAAACCCGAAAUGCCAACACUGUUUUUUACAAGAUCUAUUCACAGAACGGUUUUCUUGGCAUGACAACACUGGUCAUAAACACACCACAAAAGUUGCCCCAGGUGUCUGCAUAUGUGAUGCGCCAGCCCGUGCCAUGGUACAGGACAUGAAACAAUUUAACGGCAGAUA